RNAcentral lists this long non-coding RNA (548 nucleotides) under Vigna radiata. RNAcentral describes it as "long non-coding RNA (VRAD_LNC006495)". The record is from RNAcentral. Lineage: Eukaryota; Viridiplantae; Streptophyta; Magnoliopsida; Fabales; Fabaceae.
GUUCUUUCCAAAGGAAUUAAGUUUAGAAAAGACUUGAGAAGUUGAGAAAAGAAUUAAGUUUAGAAAAGACUUGAGAAAUUGAGAAAAGAAUUAAGUUGGUGCUUGUAUGCAAAGAACAAAAAUAAACAUACAAAUGCAGUUGAUUCAAUUGGUUUUACGAAACUAUGGAUGAAUGGUGUUGUUGGGGUUAACAAUUUCAUCUUAUCCACUCUCAUAUAUUUAAUUUUCUUAUUUACUUCACUUAUUUAUCCAAUUGCUAUGCAAACUUUCUAGCCUACCCUUAACCCAAUCCCUUGGUGAAAAGAGCCUAUCAUUAAUUACUGACUUGUUAUCCCUAGCCUCCCCUCGUAACCAAUAAUGCAAUGUGAACAAAAGCAAAAUACAAUUGAUCGUCCUACCCCUAUCCCUAGGUGGUAUUAGCAUAAUCAAGGAAUUUCUCACCAGUUCAUGACAUUACGUUCGUCCCCAUAUCAAUAAAGACAAACAACAUUUACUGAAUGAGUUAAACAAUAAAAGCAUUAAGCAUAGAUGAGAACCCAACAAUUGAU